ACUCCUACGGGAGGCAGCAGUGGGGAAUAUUGCACAAUGGGCGCAAGCCUGAUGCAGCCAUGCCGCGUGUGUGAAGAAGGCCUUCGGGUUGUAAAGCACUUUCAGUCGUGAGGAAGGUAGUGUAGUUAAUAGCUGCAUUAUUUGACGUUAGCGACAGAAGAAGCACCGGCUAACUCCGUGCCAGCAGCCGCGGUAAUACGGAGGGUGCGAGCGUUAAUCGGAAUUACUGGGCGUAAAGCGCAUGCAGGUGGUUUGUUAAGUCAGAUGUGAAAGCCCGGGGCUCAACCUCGGAAUAGCAUUUGAAACUGGCAGACUAGAGUACUGUAGAGGGGGUAGAAUUUCAGGUGUAGCGGUGAAAUGCGUAGAGAUCUGAAGGAAUACCGGUGGCGAAGGCGGCCCCUGGACAGAUACUGACACUCAGAUGCGAAAGCGUGGGAGCAAACAGGAUUAGAUACCCCUGGUAGCGACUGA
RNAcentral lists this ribosomal RNA (471 nucleotides) under uncultured bacterium. RNAcentral's name for it is "bacterial SSU rRNA". It matches the Rfam family "Bacterial small subunit ribosomal RNA", at positions 335 to 803 of the family's 1533-position model. The record is from RNAcentral.